RNAcentral lists this ribosomal RNA (915 nucleotides) under uncultured archaeon. Its description in RNAcentral is "bacterial SSU rRNA". It matches the Rfam family "Archaeal small subunit ribosomal RNA", at positions 1 to 892 of the family's 1478-position model. The record is from RNAcentral.
UUCCGGUUGAUCCUGCCGGGACCUGACUGCUAUCGGAUAGAGAUUAAGCCAUGCUAGUUGAACAUUUCUUAACUAUGUGAGAAGUGUAGCGUACUGCUCAGUAACACGUGGUCAACCUGCCCUAGAGACGUGUAUAACCCCGGGAAACUGGGACUAAUACGCGAUAAGUCAUAUUUUCUGGAAUGGUUUAUGAUAUAAAGGAUUUUUCAAACAUGUUUGAUUUAUUGCUUUAGGAUGGGACUGCGGCCGAUCAGGUUGUUGGUGGGGUAAUGGCCCACCAAGCCUAUUACCGGUGCGGGCUUUGAGAGAAGGAGCCUGGAGAUGGACACUGAGAAAAGGGUCCAGGCCCUACGGGGCGCAGCAGGCGCGAAAACUUCGCAAUGUGCGAAAGCACGACGAGGUUAAUCCGAGUGCAACAUGCUGAAUGUAGCUUUUGAUAAGUGUAGGUAGUUUAUUGAAUAAGGGGAGGGAAAGUCUGGUGUCAGCCGCCGCGGUAAUACCAGCUCCCCGAGUGGUCGGGACGAUUAUUGGGCCUAAAGCAUCCGUAGCCUGUUCUGUAGGUCUUAUGUUAAAACCAAUUGCUUAACAAUUGGACUGCAUGAGAUACCACAGAACUAGGAGGCGGGAGAGGUGGACGGUACUCCACGGGUAGUGGUAAAAUGCUCUGAUCCGUGGAAGACCACCAGUGGCGAAGGCGGUCCACCAGAACGCGCUCGACGGUGAGGGAUGAAAGCUGGGGUAGCGAACCGGAUUAGAUACCCGGGUAGUCCCAGCUGUAAACGAUGCAAGCUAGGUGAUGGAUUAGCCACGUGUUAAUCCAGUGCCGCAGGGAAGCCGUUAAGCUUGCCGCCUGGGGAGUACGGUCGCAAGGCUGAAACUUAAAGGAAUUGGCGGGGGAGCACCACAAGGGGUGAA